Molecule: ribosomal RNA, 869 nt
Filed under: uncultured candidate division WS6 bacterium
Lineage: Bacteria
Description: bacterial SSU rRNA
Rfam family: Bacterial small subunit ribosomal RNA
Source: RNAcentral
AAGGUAUGCAAGUCGAACGAUCCCUUUGAAUUACUUGAAACUUCGGUUGAUUGUAUUUCUUUUUGGGAUAGUGGCAAACGGGUGAGUAACACGUGGAUAACCUGCCUUAAAGUCAUGAACAGCUCAUCGAAAGAUGGGAUAAUACAUGAUGGUCUUACAAUUUCUAUCCGACUUUGUAAGUAAAGCUCCGGCGCUUUAAGAGGGGUCCGCGUCCUAUCAGCUUGUUGGUGAGGUAAUAGCUCACCAAGGCUAAGACGGGUAGCUGGCGUGAGAGCGCGGUCAGCCACCAUGGAACUGAGACACGGUCCAUACUCCUACGGGAGGCAGCAAUUAGGAAUCUUGCGCAAUGGGGGCAACCCUGACGCAGCGACACAGCGUGGAGGACGAAGGUCUUCGGAUUGUAAACUCCUUUUAUAUGGGAAGAAUAGAUGACGGUACCAUAUGAAUAAGCACCUGCUAACUACGUGCCAGAAGCAUCGGUGAUACGUAGGGUGCGAACGUUAUCCGGAUUUAUUGGGCGUAUAGAGAUGCGUAGGCGUUUCUGUAAGUCUGAAGUUAAAGCCCACGGCUUAACCGUGGAAAAGCUUUGGAAACUGCAGAAAUUGAGACAGGAAGAGGCGAAUGGAAUUCCCAGUGGAGCGGUGAAAUGCGUUGAUAUUGGGAGGAACAUCAGUGGCGAAGGCGAUUCGCUGGUCCUUGUCUGACGCUGAGGCUCGAAAGCGUGGGUAGCAAAACGGAUUAGAUACCCGUGUAGUCCACGCCGUAAACUAUGGAUGCUAGGUGUUCGGUACAACCGUUUUUUCCUUCGGGAAAAAAUGGAAGUAUUGAGUGCCGCAGCUAACGCGUUAAGCAUCCCGCCUGGGAAGUAC